This 1545-nucleotide long non-coding RNA is filed under the name Coturnix japonica (Japanese quail). RNAcentral describes it as "lncRNA (ENSCJPG00005001842.1)". Lineage: Eukaryota; Metazoa; Chordata; Aves; Galliformes; Phasianidae. The record is from RNAcentral.
GUCUGAACUUAUAGGGCCUAUGGGUUACCUCAGCCCUACAGGGUCAGUGGGGUAGCCUGGCCCCAUAGAUCCAAUAUGGGCGGCAUCCCUACAAUGUCUAUGGGGCUGAUUCAUACCCUAUAGCUCCUAUGGGAUAUCUAAGCCCUAUAGGAUCAAUGUGGGAGCCUGGCCCUAUAGAGCCUAUGGGGGGACUGUCCCUAUGGCAUCUAUGGGGCUGAUCCUGACCCUAUAGUGCCUGGGGGGGGGGCUGGGGGGGAGUCAGUAUAGGUGCCAUAGGGGCCCUAUAGGGUCGGGGGGAUCCUACAAGCCCUUCACCCCCAAUGUGUGGGUCGUAUGUGGGGCAGCUCCAAUAAAGGCUGUGAGGGAACAAGGACGGAGUCCUUCCUUUGGGGUUGGGGUGGGACCCAUAGGAUCCUAUAACACCAGGUAUAGGGGACUCAUAAUCCCAUAUUCCCCUAUAGAAUCCUAUAAUCCCAGAUAUAGGACCCCAUAAUCCCAUAAUACCCCCAUAGAGUCCUAUAAUCCCAGAUAUAGGACCCCAUCAUAGAACCCUAUAGUCCCAGAUUUGGGGUCAGAAACGUGGGAUUUAGGGUUGGGAAUGGGGGAUUUGGGGUCUAAAGGGGGGAUUUGGGCGGUUCUAUGGGGGACAUUAAGUUACUUAUGGUGCUCUAGGGUCCACUAGGGGCUCUAUGGGGCACUUACGGGGUCACUAUGGGACUCUAUUGAGGCUCUAAUAGGGUCAUGUGGCAUUCUAUGGGGCUGUAUGGGUUCUGUGUGGGACUAUGGGGUCACUAGGGGGUGCCAUGACAUUCUAUGGGGUGGUUAUGGGGCCAUGGGGCAACUAUGGGGCAGCAAUGGAGAGGCUAUGGGGUAUCUAUGGGGCAGCCAUAGUCAGCUAUGGGUUCUAUGGGCCAGCUAUGGGAGCUAUGGGUCGCUAUGGGGUUCCUAUGGGUGUUCUAUGGGCAACUAUGGGGGUCUAUGGGAGCACAUAGGGCAGCUAUGGGUGUUCUAUGGUAUCUAUGGGUGUCUAUGGGGCAGCUAUGGGGUGUCUAUGGGGUGUCUAUGGGGCAGAGUCUCACCCAGUGCAGGGGCAGCGCUGUCCACUGGCGGCGUCACUUCUUCAUAUGCACCAUCAGGGGGCGCUGUGGGGACAGAAACCCUAUAGACACCCCAUAGAUACCUAUAGACCCCAUAGACACCCCAUAGCGGCCCCAUAGAUACCCAUAGACCCCAUAGACACCCCAUAGAUACCCAUAGACCCCAUAGACACCCCAUAGCGGCCCCAUAGAUACCCAUAGACCCCAUAGACACCCCAUAGCGGCCCCAUAGUUACCCAUAGACCCCAUAGACCCCAUAGACACCCCAUAAAAACCCCAUAGCGGCCCCAUAGAGACCCAUAGACACCCCAUAGAUAACCCAUAGACCCCAUAGAGCCCCAUAGUCACCCCAUAGACACCCCAUGGAUACCCAUAGACCCCAUAGACACCCCAUAGCCACCCCAUAGCUGCCCCAUAGACCCCAUAGAGCCCCAUAGACACCCCAUAG